GUGGAAUGGAACAGACAGGAGUGGAAUGGAACAGACAGGAGUGGAAUGGAACAGACAGGAGUGGAAUGGAACAGACAGGAGUGGAAUGGAACAGACAGGAGUGGAAUGGAACAGACAGGAGUGGAAUGGAAGAGACAGGAGUGGAAUGGAACAGACAGGAGUGGAAUGGAAGAGACAGGAGUGGAAUGGAACAGACAGGAGUGGAAUGGCACAGACAGGAGUGGAAUGGAACAGACAGGAGUGGAAUGGCACAGACAGGAGUGGAAUGGAACAGACAGGAGUGGAAUGGAACAGACAGGAGUGGAAUGGAACAGACAGGAGUGGAAUGGAACAGACAGGAGUGGAAUGGAACAGACAGGAGUGGAAUGGAACAGACAGGAGUGGAAUGAACAGACAGGAGUGGAAUGAACAGACAGGAGUGGAAUGGAACAGACAGGAGUGGAAAAGGAGGGAGGAAAGAAACAAGCACAGAAAUGUCUGUUUAGUCCCACCCUCCCCCCGUUCUCGCUCUCUCCCUCUCUCUUUUUUCGCUGUGCAGUACCUUGGCUGUCAGAGCAGGUGUUGGACAGGGUAUAAAGGCCAUCUGGAGUGAGGGAUUGCUGAGCAGUGAGAAUUAAGACCUCCACACUCUGACAGGGCUCAGACAAACCAUCUGGUCCCCCCUCGCUUAAAGAACCUGUUCCCAGCUUCUUCACACACCGACCUCCAGCGCUCACGCUCUCUCACUAAAACACACAUGUUCACUCACUCCCCUCGAUUAGCAUCUGCUGUCGGGAGGUUAGUGGAUUGUAAAGACCUGCUUCUUCCUCAGAGAGAUUUCUUUGUUUCUUUAUUCUUGUGACUUUUUGGAGUGGAGUCGGGCCGGCAUGGCGUGGAGGAGAUGUGCAUUUGGACCCAGCAUGUCAGUCUGUCUCUGGGCUUUGUGUCUGUCCCUCAGUCUCAUCUGGACUUGUCAAGUGACCCAGGCAGCCAUCUACAGACUCGCAGAUGAAGUACAACGUUGAUUAAAUACUCUCUUAGAAAAUAGGGUUAAUGGAGGGUUCUUCAGGUGUCGCUGCGGGAGAACCUUUUUUGGUUCCAACUAGAAACAUUUUACCCAACAAACAACCCUUUAAGAAUCCUUUCAUAAAAAGAUUCUACCUGGAUCAAAAUAAAAGGGUUCUGAACCUGUUAUGGUUCUAGGUAGCACAUUGGUUUACUACCAGAGAAGGGUAACAUGUUUCUGGUAACUUGCCAUUCAUCCUUUGGUGCACAGGUCCAUGUAUCUACAAAGAGGUUUCGUUUGAGCCUGGACAGACCUUCUACAGGGGUUGUAAACAAGUGAAAAUGCCACGAAAAUGGCUACUUCUGUCUCUCACCGAUGAAACCUACCACAUGGCCCAACAAGUGCCAGCGGGUUCCAACGGAGUGUGGCUACCGCGUGGUUUAUAAGGAGGUCCCGGAGGUGGAGUGUCAAGCCUACAGCUGGAUCUGGUGAAGGCAGACAGACACCUAUGCCCCCCUAUAGUCAACACACACGAUCGCAAGACUCUGGCUGUGGACAACCUCUUCAAGUAGUUAUCAUGCAGAGAACUGACCACAUUUACAAUGGAAAUUUACAAUGGAAAGCUGUGGUUCCCCUGCAGCAUUGCAGAGGCAGUUGCAGUGCUUCAUGUAUAAAUUCGAUUUGUCGAACGUAUGGGUAACGACCCUGGGUUUAUAACCGCGGUAAAUCGACUCUGCCGCUGGAUGCUUUUGCGGCAGUUGAUAGCGCGCCGGACCUCGGGUCCCUGCUGUUUCAUUACAGUAUGCAUCAAAUCGUAUGCGUAGACGGCGUGACAUAAAUGGUAGCAGAAUGUGAAUGUUGAACUUUUGUUGCACACAUAUCCAGAUGAUGCGUAUCAUUUUACAAAUAAAAGUUUGAUUUGACCUCGUGACAAGACAAACGGCGUGCUUCUAGAUGUCGACGCUAUUACCCGGCACUGCCCGAGUGUGGCCCUCAAAUCUCAACCAGAUACCCUUCAUUGCCAUGCAGCGUUACAAAGGUCUAUAUCGGUUCCUUCGUAGGUGUUCAGUCUUCUGUAUGUCGCAGACCGCUAUGUUUUCAAUGUUAGGAAGCGAGAGCGCCAUCGGUCAACUUCACAAACCGAGGCUGGAUUUACACUCUACUAUGCACGCUCCAUACAGGCUCCGCAAACUCUUUGCGACUUCACCCGCACUGAGAUUUGAGCUGUGCAUGGCAGAGCGUGUAACUUCACACAAUUGUCAGUGAUGAAUUGCUCAGCAGAAAGCUUGACUGUGGCGUUUACUCAGCCUUACAGGGCAACUCCCUAGCCUCACCCGUCGACUAGUUUUUCAGGAUAAGGAUAUAUUUCACCGUUCACGUCACUGUGUAUACAGUAUAUGUAUAUAAUACAUUAUUUCAAAUAAAACAUGGCAGUGUUACAUACUGUGUAAAUAAAUGUCAACUAUU
Long non-coding RNA from Oncorhynchus keta (chum salmon), 2452 nucleotides. RefSeq lists it as uncharacterized. NCBI's taxonomy places the organism in Eukaryota, Metazoa, Chordata, Actinopteri, Salmoniformes, Salmonidae. The record is from RefSeq and is a predicted model, not a curated record. The transcript has 3 exons.